Molecule: ribosomal RNA, 419 nt
Filed under: uncultured Prevotella sp.
Lineage: Bacteria; Pseudomonadati; Bacteroidota; Bacteroidia; Bacteroidales; Prevotellaceae
Description: bacterial SSU rRNA
Rfam family: Bacterial small subunit ribosomal RNA
Source: RNAcentral
GGAAUAUUGGUCAAUGGGCGCGAGCCUGAACCAGCCAAGUAGCGUGCAGGAUGACGGCCCUAUGGGUUGUAAACUGCUUUUAUGCGGGGAUAAAGUGCACCACGUGUGGUGUUUUGUAUGUACCGCAUGAAUAAGGACCGGCUAAUUCCGUGCCAGCAGCCGCGGUAAUACGGAAGGUCCGGGCGUUAUCCGGAUUUAUUGGGUUUAAAGGGAGCGCAGGCCGAAGGUUAAGCGUGACGUGAAAUGUACCGGCUCAACCGGUGACUUGCGUCGCGAACUGGCUUUCUUGAGUGAGUACGACGUCAGCGGAAUUCGUGGUGUAGCGGUGAAAUGCUUAGAUAUCACGAAGAACCCCGAUUGCGAAGGCAGCCAACAAGGCCUUUACUGACGCUAAAGCUCGAAGGUGCGGGUAUCGAACA